GUCACAAUAUAUUGUGUGUCAACCAUUUUUCAUUUCGCUACGACAACAAAAGCACUUGAACACAACACACUCAUAAUUUCCAAUUCACCAGUACAAAGGAUCAUCUUCCUGACAGCACGUGAAGGCAGCAUUAA
Molecule: long non-coding RNA, 134 nt
Organism: Sphaeramia orbicularis (orbiculate cardinalfish)
Lineage: Eukaryota; Metazoa; Chordata; Actinopteri; Kurtiformes; Apogonidae
Exons: 3
Source: RefSeq, a predicted model, not a curated record